GACGAACGCUGGCGGCGUGCCUAAUACAUGCAAGUCGAACGCUUUUUCUUUCACCGGAGCUUGCUCCACCGAAAGAAAGAGAGUGGCGAACGGGUGAGUAACACGUGGGUAACCUGCCCAUCAGAAGGGGAUAACACUUGGAAACAGGUGCUAAUACCGUAUAACACUAUUUUCCGCAUGGAAGAAAGUUGAAAGGCGCUUUUGCGUCACUGAUGGAUGGACCCGCGGUGCAUUAGCUAGUUGGUGAGGUAACGGCUCACCAAGGCAGCGAUGCAUAGCCGAACUGAGAGGGUGAUCGGCCACACUGGGACUGAGACACGGCCCAGACUCCUACGGGAGGCAGCAGUAGGGAAUCUUCGGCAAUGGACGAAAGUCUGACCGAGCAACGCCGCGUGAGUGAAGAAGGUUUUCGGAUCGUAAAACUCUGUUGUUAGAGAAGAACAAGGAUGAGAGUAAAAUGUUCAUCCCUUGACGGUAUCUAACCAGAAAGCCACGGCUAACUACGUGCCAGCCGCCGCAGUAA
This 523-nucleotide ribosomal RNA is filed under the name uncultured bacterium. RNAcentral's name for it is "partial 16S ribosomal RNA". It matches the Rfam family "Bacterial small subunit ribosomal RNA", at positions 28 to 523 of the family's 1533-position model. The record is from RNAcentral.